Bos taurus (domestic cattle) is the source of this 2625-nucleotide long non-coding RNA. Lineage: Eukaryota; Metazoa; Chordata; Mammalia; Artiodactyla; Bovidae. The record is from Ensembl.
GCAUUUAGUCUGGGUAAUAAAUCAGGGCGGUUUACGAGGUUUACACGAGACAAACAAGCAAGCAGGGCACAACACAAGCCCCUGGAAGCGGCGUGCGCGGAGCUGCCAGGAGUCGGGAGCCCCACGCGCUCGCACGCCGAAAGCAGCCCCGGCGCGCCCUGACACGCCGCCAGCACCCACACUUCGGCUGGUCCCCGAGCGGGCGGAGCGGAGAGGUGCAGGGGAGCAGCCCCAGCCUGAGCCCACACCCCUCCAACCUUCCGCACGAACCCGCGGCGCCCGGCGCGCCCCAGUUCUGGGCAACUCGGCGCCCCCGCCCCGCCAGGGAGGGGCCGCUGGCAUAGGCGACAGCCUCAACCGUGGACCUGGACAGGGGGUCUCAGACCAGUACCAGCCUAGGACCUUGGGAGACUCUGAAGGGAAGAGCGGCUCCAGGUCACCCCGUCCGAGCCUUCGGCGCCGUGCCAUGCUCAAGUUCCCUAUCGAUUGGCGUUCUCAGCGCUAUCGUGGCGGCAGAGAGACGGAGGGCGGGAAAUCGGGAAGCCGGAACCUGCAGCCCACCCUGGACCUGAGAGGGGGGCAGGCGUAAGAACAAUUCCCCCAUCUCGCAAUACAGUACACGCAUGCAUCGCCCUUCCUCCUAGCACACAUUACGACUGCGAAAGCCAUUACCGCCGGCGCGCGAGAGACUUUUUAAAUAUUUACAGCCCGCUCUCCGCACGGUAGCCUGAUCCAUCUUGUGGGCGCGGAGGCGGGGCGCGGGGCUCCGCUCCGGGGGAGGUGCGGAGUCGGGGCGGGGGUUCCAGUCGCCUUCCCCCGCGGCUCCGGGGUCCGCCCGGAGCUCCCCAUCUUGUUCCCCCCGCCAGGUGCUGGGAGGCCACCACCCUCAAUUGAAUUGACAUUCCAGCUUCCCCAUCGCAAAACCCCUACGGCAAAGCCCAUGCCCUGACUUUCCAACAACUGGGAAUCGAGUGGACUUCCCACAAGGAGGAACAGUGUCAUGUGAGAGGAGCUCCUCAGCCUCAAGUUCUCCGCUGCUCCCUUCCACUGCCUGCACAAUGGACCCAGCACGCCACUCCUACUGGGCCAGGAGAGCCUCUUACUCACUGAUCUCCCCUCCACUUCUCCCCACGCUGCCUGGGCAGCCCCGGGACAGAAGUCUCUGAGCUCACCUCUCCAACCUCGAAUGAAGCUGAGCGUUUUCUCCAGGCUGUUGACUCUGCGGCACGCUGGCUGUACACACACACACCACGAGUUGUUCUCGCCCUUCCUGGGGGCCUCCCUUCUCAUCUCCCUGCUGGGCGCCCUCGAAACCUGACUACUCAGCCUGAGUGCAGAGCCCUGGCAGAGUGGGGAGCCUGGAGGACCAAGGGGAGGUGGCCAAGGGAGAGAAGGAGAGGGCCCGUAAUGGAGGAGGGGCCCCGCAUGCCUGAGAGAAAAGAAGCCAGCCUGCAGCCACAGCCUGGAGGAGAGGGGGAGUAUAAAGGGAAAGCCAACACUAAUCCCUCAGCCUACCUACGUGGGGCCUGACAGUUUACAAAAGCCUUUUCCCUGAAUAUUAUCUCAUUCACUCCGGGCUAUAAGGAAGGUAGGGCAGAUAGCGUUACCCUCACUGACAGAGGAGAGAGAUGACGCCCAGAGAGGUUAAGAUAGGUCUGUACCAAGGUUGCAGAGCUAAGAGUGGUGGAGGAGCCCCCAGGCCUGGGGUUUCCUGCUCCCAAGUUCACGUUCCUGUUCAAUAGCUCUGUGUGUGUGAGUCUGGGUGACUAUCUGUGUGGAGGGGAAGGUGGGGGGUGGCUGGACAGGAAUGAGCAGUCCAGUGAGGGAAGUCCAGGAAGGAAGGACAUAGCCUCAUACCUCUUCCUCUACUCAGGUCUCAGCCAGCAGCCUCCUGCUCUUUCCGUAGCAGCCUGUGAGCCGGCCCCCAACUCGCCUGCCCAGGGGUGAGCUGUCUGUGGCUCCAGCAGUGGCUAUUCCAGAGGGCUUAUAUCUUUGGGAGGCCCCGCUCUGCUUGUCUGCUCGGCUCUCCUCUCUGCCUGUCAUCCCCACCCCCAGCCUCGGCUGCAGGAUGCCUUGCGUCCAACUGUGGUUUCCGGGCAAUAAAACAACUAUUAAAGUCUCAGGCACGGCUGGUGAUUUGCAUCACAUCCUCUCGUGCAUGGAUUCAAUAUUUAAUACACAAUAUUGAAUACGGAUAUUAAAAAUCAAUAGCUGAGGACCCCUGGGGAGGCGGCACAGUGCGAUCCUGCUUCAGAAACACAACCAGCUCCUCUUAAAAGAUAGGAACGGCAAGUUCAGCCAAGCUGAGCCCAGCGCCAGGGGAAGUGAGGAGUAGUGGAUGCCUCGCAGCUUCCUGAUCUACUUAACUGCAUCAUUCCUAAGUCAGGCUAAAGGGAGGCCAAAGGAACUAUGUGCCCUCAGGCUUUACUAGCUGGCAGUGGAGUGGGGUGGGGUAGAAUUUGUUUCCAAGCUAGCUACCAGGUGGAGAUGCCCCUUUUGUUGCCAUUUGCACUUUGGUUUGGUUUGGUGCAGGCAAGCACUCAACACUUCCACCAUGAUGGCUCCUUCCCACCACCGAUAGGCCCCACGGAGAGCUUCUGGCAUAAGCUUUCAGGGAGAUGGACC